This 253-nucleotide ribosomal RNA is filed under the name uncultured bacterium. RNAcentral's name for it is "partial 16S ribosomal RNA". It matches the Rfam family "Bacterial small subunit ribosomal RNA", at positions 524 to 776 of the family's 1533-position model. The record is from RNAcentral.
UACAGAGGUCUCAAGCGUUGUUCGGAUUCAUUGGGCGUAAAGGGUGCGUAGGCGGCUCGGUAAGUCGGGUGUGAAAUCUCGGGGCUUAACUCCGAAACUGCAUUCGAUACUGCCGUGCUUGAGGACUGGAGAGGAGACUGGAAUUUACGGUGUAGCAGUGAAAUGCGUAGAUAUCGUAAGGAAGACCAGUGGCGAAGGCGAGUCUCUGGACAGUUACUGACACUGAGGCACGAAGGCCAGGGGAGCAAACGGG